Molecule: long non-coding RNA, 1826 nt
Organism: Felis catus (domestic cat)
Lineage: Eukaryota; Metazoa; Chordata; Mammalia; Carnivora; Felidae
Exons: 2
Source: RefSeq, a predicted model, not a curated record
AGAAUAAACAUUAAAAAAAUUUUUUUAAUAAAAAAGAAAAGAGGAGGACACUUGUUGGGAUGGGCACUGGGUGUUAUAGGUAGGGGAUGAAUCAUUGGAUUCUACUCGUGAAAUCAUUCUUGCACUAUACGCUGACUAACAUGGAUGUAAAUUACAAAAAAAGAAAAAGAACAAGAAGAAAGAAAUGGAGCCUGAAGACAGGACUGACUUCCUGCCUGCAAUCUCAUGAUAAAACUUGAGCCGAUGAGGCGUUGCUUCUGAUGGAUGAGCCAAGAAAGUGGUUUCUUGAGAUGGGACCCUCUCCUGGUGAAGAGAUGCCGUGAACACUGUUGAAAUGACAGCAAGGGAUUGAGACUAUCACAGAGGCUUGGUUGAUAAAGCGGUGACAGGGUUUGGGGGGAUUGACUCCAAUUUUGAAAGGAGUUCAAAAUUGUGGGUAAAGUGCUAUCAAGCAGCGUCCCGUGCUAUGGAGAAGUCGUUUGUGGAAGGUCGUGGCACACUCCCCUGUUGUCUUAGUUUAAGAAAUUGCCACAGCCUCCCCGGCCUUCGGCGAGCACCACCCCGAUCAGUCAGCAGCCAUCAGCACUGAGACAGGAUCCUCCACCAGCGAAAAGAUUGUGACUCACUGGGAACUCAGAUGCUCUGCAGCAUUUUUCUUGUUUUUUGGCAGUAAAGUGGUAUGGAACGGAACCCACGCUACCUCUCAGGUAUGCCUGUAGAUAAAACCGUAUCUAGUCAGUCCCCAAAGUGAGAACCUACGCCAGCCCAGAAAUGACAGGAAAUUCGAACAGAAUUCCAGCAAACUGGUCUGGACACAGAAACCCCAAGCCUGUUAGAUUUAUGGACCAGAGGAGGAGGGAAUUUGAUCCUCCAGAAGCAGAAACUGUACAUCUUGGGCCCCUUACCGCUGAUGUUAAAACUUAACACCUUAGAUCAUCGGGAGAAAAUAAUACUAAUUUCAAAGGGUUUCACUUGACCAAUAGCAACAAUGUGGACAGGACGAUGGCCUACACUUCACAUAUCAUACCUUAAAAUAUCUCCAUGGAAAACACCAGGAGGAGUAGUAAUAUAAUAAUGAAAUUAGGACUAUUAACUAUUAUGACAGGGACAGACACAUUCACCGCUACCUGCAGAAGGGACGGAACAGUUUUUAAAAGGCAGUCUAAAUGUACUGCAGUCUUAUGUACUGUAUUUACAGGCCAUAGAAACAUAGAAGUGACUGACAAGAACAGCUGAGGAAAUAAGUCAAGAUUCCAUUUGUGUACAUAAAGAUAACAGGCCUCCACCGAAUGUACAUAGACCGUGGCAAUCACCUUAGGCCACACAGACCUGAGGCCACAAGGUGCUACCGUCAGUCGAAACCAUUUAGGACACCACCUUGCGAAACAAAUUAUGAAAAGACAAACCCAGUAGGAACCCCAGAAACUACUUACAGUGGCAGAGAAAUAGAAACAACCAAUCUUUUAAUGUAAAUAGGCCUAAAGAAAAAAGAAACACCUGUCAACGCAGCAAUCCAUUUACUGUAAAUACUAACCCCUUUAUAAAGCCAAAUCCCACUAACAGAUAAGUCACCAAUAACCAUAACCGAUAACCGAAGGAGAGAAAACCCCAGGGGACCCUUAAAGGGACUCAGCAAUCUCUGUCUCCUGGCUAAAGCCAGAAACAUCCGUCCAUGUUACAGUAACCGUAUCAAUAGAAAACCCUCUUGUAAAUAAAAAUACUGCUUAUACCACUAUGCCGUUAGAUACGGGGCCCAAGUAACAAUGAUACAGGAUAUCCUACUGAUUUAGAACAUUUUAUCAAUAAAAAUGAAACUCCUAAAGGAC